Hippoglossus stenolepis (Pacific halibut) is the source of this 733-nucleotide long non-coding RNA. RefSeq lists it as uncharacterized. Lineage: Eukaryota; Metazoa; Chordata; Actinopteri; Pleuronectiformes; Pleuronectidae. The transcript is spliced from 2 exons. The record is from RefSeq and is a predicted model, not a curated record.
GGUGACUGCUGUGUUUGUGCAGGUAAGGGAGACUGGGAGAAAGAUGUUUUAUUUACCCGCUUGAAAUCUAAUGAGGUGUCUUAUAUAUUUAGUUGAGUGGCUGUGUCUCGACCCAGAUUUCUGUGGCCCCAUGGUUGAGUGAAGAUUCAGGGUUCGCCUCUCCCCUGUUUGAGCCCCAGUACAGAGUCAGCCAUCCAUGGACACUGUAAAAUCGGGCCCCAUAUUGAGCAAGAUUAAGUGUCAGACUGCUGCUUUGCCUAAUUCCAGUGUUGUCUGACCACUGGUUUCUGCGUUGAUUUUAUCGUGUCGGCCCGACAUCUCAUGCAUCACAUCCCUGAUGGACCGUUCAACCUUUAAUCGUAUUGAUUGUUUUUUAAUUUAUUGUGACCCUGAACCAACUGACUCUCACUCUUUUCCUUGUUUUAGGCAGCUGGACGACCUACGGGGAGUAGUUGUGGGAUUCACACCACUUUGCAUGUAGGCCGAAAGGGUGGUGGUCACUUGAACAGUGUGUUGUGGUUUUGUCCUUGCAGUGUGAGUUGCAGUGGUAGUGAUCAGUGUGCUCACGUGGUGGUGUCUAUUUGGCUUUGUGAUAGAAUCUCCCCGUAGUAAGUACGCUGCCUACAUAAUUCUCUAACGCUAUUUAGGUUAAGUGUGUUGUAUCUCUGUGGUCACAGUAUUUGUUGUUUUAGCUUUUAUAAACAUUCAGAAAUAAAAAGCUAUUUGUUUUAUU